CGUGAGGAACAUGCCCAUGAGCGGGGGACAACAUUCGGAAACGGAUGCUAAUACCCCAUAGGUGGAUUGGUCGCAUGACGAAUUCAUUAAAGGUGGCUUUGCUACCACUCAUGGAUAGCCUCGCGGCGUAUUAGCUAGUUGGUAAGGUAAUGGCUUACCAAGGCAGUGAUACGUAGCCGACUUGAGAGGGUGAUCGGCCACACUGGGACUGAGACACGGCCCAG
This 224-nucleotide ribosomal RNA is filed under the name uncultured Carnobacteriaceae bacterium. RNAcentral's name for it is "partial 16S ribosomal RNA". It matches the Rfam family "Bacterial small subunit ribosomal RNA", at positions 116 to 334 of the family's 1533-position model. The record is from RNAcentral. Lineage: Bacteria; Bacillati; Bacillota; Bacilli; Lactobacillales; Carnobacteriaceae.